RNAcentral lists this long non-coding RNA (813 nucleotides) under Equus asinus (donkey). RNAcentral describes it as "lncRNA (ENSEASG00005036921.1)". Lineage: Eukaryota; Metazoa; Chordata; Mammalia; Perissodactyla; Equidae. The record is from RNAcentral.
CCUGCUGCGGCCCUCCUGCCCUCCAGGACAGCCUGUGCUGGACCCUCCCGUGCACCCGUGGGAGACACGGGUCCCACCUGACUCCUCCAUCAGGCCAGAGCAGAAACACUCCAGCCAUGACACACACCCUGAAAGCACAGCCAAGCAGGGAGCAGAGCAGGACCCCGCAGGGGCCAAGGCGUGUUCCAGAUGGAGUUAGAGGAGGAACCAAGGCCCUGGGGCCGAUGCCACAGUGAUUACAUGUCAGCAUGGGAUCGAUGCCCUGCUCCUGGGCUGUGCCCCAACCAGCCAGCCUCCAGACACAGCCCAGCUCGGCCAAGUUUGGAUGGCAGUUAAACUCAAUAAAUAAAUUACCGAAGAACGUGCAAAACUCUGCUGAAGAGCCACAGCCAAGUGUAUGCUCACGCGAGCAAUGACAGCGGUGUGGGACUGCCACCUGAGAACCGGCGAUCACAAGACACUUUUGGUUGUAGCGCAGCUCCAUCUCAGAGAGGGGAAGAUGAGAAAAAAAUGUGUCUUCCUGAGGCUGGAGAAGGGAGGAACUGGGAAUGACUGCUUCCUACGCGCGGGGUUUCUUUUUGGGGUGAUGAAAAUGUUCUGGAACUAGAUAAUGGUGAUGACUGCACACUUGUGAAUGCACUAAAUGCCACUGGAUUGUACACUUUAAAAUCGUUAAAAUGGUACAUUUUAUGUUAUGUGUAUUUACCACAAUAAAAAAAAGAAUGUCUUAGAUUUGAUGAAAAUGGUGGCUGCUUUUAUUUAAACAUUACUAGUUCAAGCACUGCUCCAAGUACGUUACAUCCAUAAUCGAAU